GCCAUCAGGACACAUCCUUACCAAAACUAUUAUUUGAAGUGAAAAUGUUUUUUCACCACAUAAUUUUGCUUUUGAUGUGGUUCACUUAAUGUGGUUAGAGGAGAAGCCCUACAUCACAGGAGGAUUCUGAUUGGCUGUGAACAGGGGCGGAGCUAGGGUGUGGACCAACGAUUUUGCUACCUUGCAUUUAGCCUGUAACGCCAUCAGACCCGACAUGAAACAUGACGUGAGGAGCUGAAGCUGGUUGUGACAGCACCAGACAACUUCUGGAAAGCAGCAGUCUCAUCAGUUACCAGGCCUCUGCCAAACACCGAUCCCCAUCAGCGAGACGGCCAAGCGGAUCCCUUUUUUUUCUUCACCGAAGAUGUCAUCCCAAGCUUACGUGAUAAAAAGAACAUCAUAAAGAGGGUAUAAAGUAACUGGUGACAGAACAUAACUUUUUGGUCUCUGAGAAAAGCCACUUCAGAAACCAGCCUCGUUGAUACAUAUGUCAUAGGCAUUUAUGAAUCUAAUUAUCGGACCAAUUCGACUGAAAUGAGCAGUGAUUCAGACCCUCCAAGAG
Onychostoma macrolepis is the source of this 562-nucleotide long non-coding RNA. RefSeq lists it as uncharacterized. The record is from RefSeq and is a predicted model, not a curated record. The transcript has 5 exons. NCBI's taxonomy places the organism in Eukaryota, Metazoa, Chordata, Actinopteri, Cypriniformes, Cyprinidae.